GGGGCUGUAGCUCAGAGGACAGAGCACUGGCCUCCGGAGCCAGGUGUCGGGGGUUCAAAUCCCCCCAGCCCUA
RNAcentral lists this transfer RNA (73 nucleotides) under Thermodesulfobacteriota bacterium. Its description in RNAcentral is "tRNA-Arg". It matches the Rfam family "tRNA". From Rfam's summary of the family: Transfer RNA (tRNA) molecules are approximately 80 nucleotides in length. Their secondary structure includes four short double-helical elements and three loops (D, anti-codon, and T loops). Further hydrogen bonds mediate the characteristic L-shaped molecular structure. tRNAs have two regions of fundamental functional importance: the anti-codon, which is responsible for specific mRNA codon recognition, and the 3' end, to which the tRNAs corresponding amino acid is attached (by aminoacyl-tRNA synthetases). tRNAs cope with the degeneracy of the genetic code in two manners: having more than one tRNA (with a specific anti-codon) for a particular amino acid; and 'wobble' base-pairing, i.e. permitting non-standard base-pairing at the 3rd anti-codon position. Lineage: Bacteria; Pseudomonadati; Thermodesulfobacteriota. The record is from RNAcentral.